RNAcentral lists this non-coding RNA (90 nucleotides) under unclassified sequences. RNAcentral's name for it is "DUF3800-IX RNA". It matches the Rfam family "DUF3800-IX RNA". From Rfam's summary of the family: Actinobacteria, Firmicutes (1 example), Nitrospirae, Proteobacteria, Verrucomicrobia (1 example). The record is from Rfam by way of RNAcentral.
GGCUGAAACUCGAACUGUCACCUUUAUGGAUGGCGUUUCCGAUAAACCUGCCUAUCGGUAGACAAGGUCGGAAUAGGGUUUCAGUUUUUA